RNAcentral lists this ribosomal RNA (253 nucleotides) under uncultured bacterium. Its description in RNAcentral is "partial 16S ribosomal RNA". It matches the Rfam family "Bacterial small subunit ribosomal RNA", at positions 524 to 776 of the family's 1533-position model. The record is from RNAcentral.
UACGUAGGGGGCUAGCGUUGUCCGGAAUCAUUGGGCGUAAAGCGCGUGUAGGCGGCCCGAUAAGUCCGCUGUGAAAGUCGGGGGCUCAACCCUCGAAUGCCGGUGGAUACUGUCGGGCUAGAGUGCGGAAGAGGCGAGUGGAAUUCCUGGUGUAGCGGUGAAAUGCGCAGAUAUCAGGAGGAACACCGAUUGCGAAGGCAGCUCGCUGGGACGUAACUGACGCUGAGACGCGAAAGCGUGGGGAGCAAACAGG